GAUGAACGCUAGCGGCAGGCCUAACACAUGCAAGUCGAGGGGUAGCAGGAUUAAGCUUGCUUAAUUGCUGACGACCGGCGCACGGGUGCGUAACGCGUAUGCAACCUACCUUAUACUGGGGUAUAGCCCGGAGAAAUUCGGAUUAAUCCCCCAUAGUACUAAUGAAUCGCAUGGUUUAUUAGUUAAAGCAUUGCGGUAUAAGAUGGGCAUGCGUCCUAGUAGCUAGAUGGUGAGGGAACGGCUCACCAUUGCUACGGUAGGUAGGGGGGCUGGGAGGGUGGUCCCCCAAACAGGUACUUAGACACGGACCAGACUCCUACGGGAGGCAGCAGUGAGGAAUAUUGGUCAAUGGGCGCAAGCCUGAACCAGCCAUGCCGCGUGCAGGAAGAAUGCCCUAUGGGUUGUAAACUGCUUUUAUUUGGGAAUAAACCUCUUUACGUGUAGAGAGCUGAAGGUACCAAAUGAAUAAGCACCGGCUAACUCCGUGCCAGCCGCCGCCGUAA
Molecule: ribosomal RNA, 503 nt
Filed under: uncultured bacterium
Lineage: Bacteria
Description: partial 16S ribosomal RNA
Rfam family: Bacterial small subunit ribosomal RNA
Source: RNAcentral